CCUUUACUUAAAAGCAUGAAGUCUGUUUACAAAGUAAGAAAUACUGAUACUACACUGUAAAAUUACUCUGAUCACAAGUAAAAUAUUCAGUAUAAUCAGUAAAGUAUCCUUAAAGCACUAAAAGUUGAAGUUGUCCAAUAAUUGUAGUGAAGUAAAAAGUAAAAUACUUUCUUCUGAGAUGUAGUGCAGUAGAAGAAGAAAGUAGCAUAAAAAGAAAAGUGCCAGUACCUCAAAUUUAUACUAAAGCACAGUACUUUAGGGAAUACACAUUUCAUCAUUAGUAUUCUUACAUUUAGGUGUUCCAGUGGACAUAUUUGCAUUCUGACCAAGUGUGCAUAUGUAUGACAGAAAUGAUCUCUGAAGCUACAUGCUAUAUGCAGUGGUCUGAACUUUUCAUAUUGAUGUAUUACAGGCUCUGCUGAUUUCAGCACAAAGAAAGAAGUCUUCCAUAGGGUCAUGGGUGUUCGAAGGCUUCAAGAGGAGAAGAAGAUCCUUGUGAAAGAAAUGAAGCAGCACUGGGAGUCUCCCAAAGCCCAUGCCAGGGUCUUGUCCGAGUUGCCUCAGCAUCAGAGUGAAGACGCCAUGCAAAGACAUCUCACAGAGAAAGCAACAAAGGGUCACACCUGCCUCAUCCUUCCAGUGGGAAAAGAUUCAGAGUCAGAUGCAAUGUAAAACAGGAAGAUGUGGUGCUCAUGAUCACAGUGCACCGUGUGCGACACAUGGUCACACAGAGCAUGUGGCUUUAAAAAGUGACUAACGUAUGUGCUCAUUGUCAGGAUUAAGUUGGAGAUGACAGUUGUAGUUUUUGUAUUAGGUUGUUGUUAUUUCUGCAUUUGGUUUUGAAAUGUUUCAUCACUUAUAUAAGGUUGGAUUUUUCUACUGGGUUGUGGGAAGUUCCUGGUCUUACAUCUUUACAACACAAACCACUGUCCUUUACUGUCUUAUCUUUGAUUCACGUUCAGUUCUGCAUCUUUUCAGGGAUUUUCUUUCCAGUUGAUCUUUACUGUUUGAUUAAUAAUUGUUCUUUAAUGUUUAAUUAAACAAAGGCACAAUGAAGCUACAUUUCUGAUUGAGUCCUUGGAUGUUACUACUGUUAGACUUAUUUUAUCUGAGCAAUUCCCACAUGCUUUCAGAGUACAUGAAUUCAGUAUAUGGCAAGAGGAGAGAUUCAGAGGAAGGACUAGUGAUAUGGGAUUUUCAGCAUCAAGUUUUCAAUAACAUGAACAGUUUUAAUGCAAUUAUAUAGUAUAACAUCCAACUUUACACAGGUUGAAUGAUUUAGCAAACCACAUUUCAUAGUGAUAUACUGUAUAUCAGAUGAACUAGCCAACGUCAAAACGUAUGUAACAUGUAAAGAAAAGACUCAAAGUAAAAGUAUCUCAAAUUUGUACUUAAUUACAGUACUUGAGUUAAAGCACUUUAUUACAUUCCACCACUGGUGACACAGAGACAUAUGCAAAGCACCCGGUAGAUUCAAAUGACUAUAAUUAGGACUAUGACCAAAUAAUAUAUAUAUAUAUAUAUUACCGCUCCCACACAGACACACGGCCAUGGGCCUGCAAUCUACAACUGCAUGACCAUAAAGUGGAUUUUUUUGGAGGAUGUGGUGGCAUAUUAGAGGUUUUGAGAGUGCUGCCUGUUGAAGAAUGCUCUUUAUUAUUAU
Molecule: long non-coding RNA, 1663 nt
Organism: Dicentrarchus labrax (European seabass)
Lineage: Eukaryota; Metazoa; Chordata; Actinopteri; Moronidae
Source: Ensembl